Molecule: non-coding RNA, 142 nt
Organism: Gossypium hirsutum (cotton)
Lineage: Eukaryota; Viridiplantae; Streptophyta; Magnoliopsida; Malvales; Malvaceae
Source: Rfam
UGUUAAAAAAUAAUUUAUUUGUAUUGUUAAAAAUUAACGUGAUUGAUAAAAUAACUUGACAAUGACAUGUGACGUAUCAUAUGUACCUCAUAUUGACGUACAUAGAUCGAUUUUUAACAGUAGAAUUUGAUGCUUUUUAAAA